RNAcentral lists this ribosomal RNA (628 nucleotides) under uncultured Tomentella. Its description in RNAcentral is "eukaryotic LSU rRNA". The stretch from base 224 to 377 matches the Rfam family "5.8S ribosomal RNA". Lineage: Eukaryota; Fungi; Basidiomycota; Agaricomycetes; Thelephorales; Thelephoraceae. The record is from RNAcentral.
AGAGGAAGUAAAAGUCGUAACAAGGUUUCCGUAGGUGAACCUGCGGAAGGAUCAUUAAUGAUUGCGAAUUGUUGCCUUCAGUGCUGGCUUCGGCAAGUGCACGUCGGUGACUUUCAUCCAAUACCCUGUGCACCUUUGGCCUCUUGCUAGCUUCGGCCGGCAGAGGAUUUUACACAAACUCGAAUGUAAUGAAAUUUAUUGUCGUGCGCAAGCACUAAUGUACAACUUUCAACAACGGAUCUCUUGGCUCUCGCAUCGAUGAAGAACGCAGCGAAAUGCGAUAAGUAAUGUGAAUUGCAGAAUUCAGUGAAUCAUCGAAUCUUUGAACGCACCUUGCACCCUUUGGCAUUCCGAAGGGUAUGCUCGUUUGAGUGUCAUUGUACUCUCACACUCCCAAUGCUUUUGGAUUGGGAGCGGUGGACUUGGGUGUUGCUGCUUUACAGUGGCUCGCCUCAAAUGGAGUAGUGCAACUCUCGGUUGGACAUAGUACGGCGUGAUAAGUGUCUUCGCCGGCGCCUCACUAGAGGGUGGCUGAUCGGGAGCUCUGUGCUUCAAACCGUCUUCGGACAAUCUUUGACAACUUGACCUCAAAUCGAGUAGGACUACCCGCUGAACUUAAGCAUAUCAU